ACGGGGUGCAGCAGGCGCGAAAACUCCACAAUGCGCGAAAGCGUGAUGGGGUUACCCCGAGUGCCGUCCGUUGAGGAUAGCUUUUCACUAGUGCAAGGAGCUAGUGGAAUAAAGGGGGGGCAAGUCUGGUGUCAGCCGCCGCGGUAAUACCAGCCCCCUGAGUGAUAGGGACGAUUAUUUAGCCUAAAGCGUCCGUAGCCGGCUUUGUAAGUCUUUCGUUAAAUCUGACGACUUAAUCGCCAGACCGCGGAAGAUACUGCUAGGCUAGAGGGUGGGAGAGGUUGACGGUAGUCCUGGGGUAGGGGUGAAAUCCUAUAAUCCCAGGAGGACCACCAGUGGCGAAGGCGGUCAACCAGAACAUGCCUGACGGUGAGGGACGAAAGCUGGGGGAGCGAACCGGAUUAGACACCCGGGUAGUCCCAGCUGUAAACGAUGCGGGCUAGGUGUUGGUGCAGCUACGUGCUGUUCCAGUGCCGCAGAGAAGUUGUUAAGCCCGCCGCUUGGGAAGUACGGCCGCAAGGCUGAAACUUAAAGGAAUUGGCGGGGGAGCAC
Molecule: ribosomal RNA, 552 nt
Filed under: uncultured archaeon
Lineage: Archaea
Description: bacterial SSU rRNA
Rfam family: Archaeal small subunit ribosomal RNA
Source: RNAcentral